This 22-nucleotide non-coding RNA is filed under the name Rattus norvegicus (Norway rat). The record is from RNAcentral. Lineage: Eukaryota; Metazoa; Chordata; Mammalia; Rodentia; Muridae.
UUUCAAAAGGUAGCCUAUCAAA